This 440-nucleotide ribosomal RNA is filed under the name uncultured bacterium. RNAcentral's name for it is "partial 16S ribosomal RNA". It matches the Rfam family "Bacterial small subunit ribosomal RNA", at positions 338 to 795 of the family's 1533-position model. The record is from RNAcentral.
CCUACGGGCGGCAGCAGUGGGGGAUAUUACACAAUGGGGGAAACCCUGAUGCAGCGACGCCGCGUGAGCGAUGAAGGACUUCGGUUUGUAAAGCUCUAUCAGCAGGGAAGAAAAUGACAGUACCUGACUAAGAAGCCCCGGCUAACUACGUGCCAGCAGCCGCGGUAAUACGUAGGGGGCAAGCGUUAUCCGGAAUUUCUGGGGGUAAAGGGGGCGUAGAUGGUUUUGUAAGUCUGGAGGGAAAGCCCCGGGGUGAAACCCGGGACUGCUUUGGAAACUGUGUAACUGGAGUGCAGGAGAGGAAAGCGGAAUUCCUGGUGUAGCGGUGAAAUGCGUAGAUAUCAGGAGGAACACCAGAGGCGAAGGCGGCUUGCUGGACUGAAACUGACGCUGAGGCACGAAAGCGUGGGGAGCAAACAGGAUUAGAUACCCGAGUAGUC